This 330-nucleotide long non-coding RNA is filed under the name Elaeis guineensis (African oil palm). Its description in RNAcentral is "long non-coding RNA (EGUI_LNC002509)". The record is from RNAcentral. Lineage: Eukaryota; Viridiplantae; Streptophyta; Magnoliopsida; Arecales; Arecaceae.
GGGUGAUCCUUAGCUUUCACCCAAUAAGGAUAUGUCAGUUCUUGUCGAGGAUGAUGAGGACUAUCACUCCCUGCUUGAUGUUGAGGUACUAAAAUUGAAGGAGUUGGCGACCAAGCAGGCAUUGUAUGACACCGACAUCAGUUGGCGUUACCUUAGGGUAUAACUGAUUUUUUUUGACUUGGAUUUCAUACUAACAAUCUCUAUUUGGUUUUGUAGUGAUGUGGCCAUCAUUGGAGUCCAUAAAGUUGGCCCUGAAGACAAGAUUGGGCUCCUCAGGUGGGGAGCCUUCACCUAAGAAGUAGAAGAAGUUGAGGCCAAUGACUUCUUUCC